GGGGAGCGGACAGAAGGGACGGUCCGGUUUGAUCCGCUAUCGGGCGCGCCUAUCAGCAAUAUACUUUGAAACGAGUGGAUAGUGUGGAUAGUGUGGACAGUUACGCUCGAUAUACUUACCGGGACCGUGUACAAUAAUGAUACAAGUCCUAUGCAAUACGCGAUCACGUUUGUUGUUUAUUUGUUUAACGUACACAAAAUAGACACGAGACGAAAUAUCGCGACGGGUACAGUUGUCAGGGAUUUAACAUCCGCUCUAAGCUACGGCGUGUAUUGCAAGAGAUGACGAGUUCUCGGAAACAAAACGAACAAUAAAUCGAUUACGAACUAAAAACAGUAACUUAACCUAACGUUGCAAGACGGAGACGAGACUAUGGAAUCGCGUUUAGGA
Molecule: non-coding RNA, 390 nt
Organism: Cinara cedri
Lineage: Eukaryota; Metazoa; Arthropoda; Insecta; Hemiptera; Aphididae
Source: the annotation of a GenBank genome assembly